AUACGGAGGGUGCAAGCGUUAAUCGGAAUUACUGGGCGUAAAGCGUACGUAGGCGGUUCGUUAAGUUAGAUGUGAAAGCCCCGGGCUUAACCUGGGAACUGCAUUUAAAACUGGCGAACUAGAGUUGAGUAGAGGGGAGUGGAAUUUCAGGUGUAGCGGUGAAAUGCGUAGAGAUCUGAAGGAACACCAGUGGCGAAGGCGACUCCCUGGACUCGAACUGACGCUGAGGUACGAAAGCGUGGGUAGCAAACGGGAGUAGAAACCCCAGUAGUCC
RNAcentral lists this ribosomal RNA (274 nucleotides) under uncultured bacterium. RNAcentral's name for it is "partial 16S ribosomal RNA". It matches the Rfam family "Bacterial small subunit ribosomal RNA", at positions 523 to 796 of the family's 1533-position model. The record is from RNAcentral.